AUGGCCCCGCCCCCCACCUCCGCUGCAGGCCUGCAGCAGCGGCGGCUCCUCAAGGCGGCGGCCGACGGCGACCUUGGCCGCUUCAAGAGCAUCGCGAGCGCGCUGGAUGGCGGGAAGGGCCGCGUCAGGGAGGCGGUGGAGGCCGCCAGGGACGGCGGAUCCGGGCCGCUGCACGCCGCCGCCCGCCACGGGAGGAUGCCGGUGUGCGUCUACCUCGUCGAGCAGCUUGGCGUGAACGUCGAUGCCGCAGACGACAAAGGUGAUACACCUCUGAUGUAUGCACUUGGUUGGGGGAAUUUGGAUACUGUGAGGUAUCUCCUUGAUCAUGAUGCUGAUCCAGAAAAGCGUGGUGAACACGGAAUGACCGCUCUACAUGUGGCAGCUGGAGCAGGAAUGUGUGAAAUGAUAGAGGUCUUGCUCUCAAAAGGAGCUGAUGUUAAUUCCGUUUCUUUCUGUGGGACACCAUUGCAUGCUGCUAUUACCGGAAAGCAUGAUGCUGCUGUGAAGACCUUGUUGGAUCAUCAUGCAGAUUGUAACAAGGCAAUGGCCAUACAUUAUACGCCCCUGAUCGCUGCUAUCCAUGUUCGCUCACUGAAGUGUGUGAAACUUCUGAUUAAGGCGGGUGCUGAUGUGAAGGGUGUUGGUCCGCUAACCCCGUUAAUAGCCGCUGCGGAUGAUGGUUUAACUGAUUUCUACAAACCUUUACUUGUGGCUGGUGCUGAUCCUAAUGUUCGCGAUGAUGGAGAUCAACUGCCAAUAGAGAUUGCUGCACGUAACAAUAGACGGAAAGAUGUUGAGAUCCUUUUUCCGGUGACAUCUCGUAUUCCAUAUGUGCAUGAUUGGAGUGUUGAUGGGAUACUUGCUUAUGUCAAAUCAGUGCCAAAGGAGGAGGACGACCCGUUGUACAAAAUGGGGCCAGCUUAUCUGAAAUCAGAAGGAAACAAGGCAUACAAGAGAAAAGAUUAUGUUUCUGCAAUAAAUUUCUACAACAUGGCAACCAAGCUUGAUCCUGAAGAUGUAGCCUUGCAUUCAAAUAGGAGUGUUUGCUGGAUUAACUUGGGUGAAGGAGACAAGGCCUUGGAGGCAGCCGAAAUGUGCAGGAUGAUACGUCCUGAUUGGCCAAAGGCCUGUUACAGGCAAGGGGCGGCCCAAAUGUUUUUCAAGGGAGGCAUUCAACUCGAUGAAGAUAUCUCGUGCCAAAACGGUCUCAUGAACCGCCAUCCUUUGAUCAGAAGAGACCUACCCAAGGCCAAGCUGUUUCUGUGCGUGCUUCCCCUUCGAUGUUUAAAGACGUUGAGUUGA
Molecule: ribosomal RNA, 1302 nt
Filed under: Triticum aestivum (bread wheat)
Lineage: Eukaryota; Viridiplantae; Streptophyta; Magnoliopsida; Poales; Poaceae
Description: partial small subunit ribosomal RNA
Source: RNAcentral